ACCCCAGAUCUGGACCCCAUAGUCAAGCCCUUGCUCCCAACCUGACUAUAAACCAUGACAGAGAACACACCAUGCUGAAUUCAGAAAGAAGCCGAAAGACAUCGAAGGUUUUAACUCUGAAACGCUCAGCAGAAAAUACAGCUGAGGAGCAUCAUCAAGUUAAAGCUGCACCUAUGUGUUUCCUCAGACUGGCGAGCAACAACACAGUUUGAUCUACAAGGUCAAAGCCCUCGGGGCUGAAGAGCACAACACUGGAUCAGAGGGGCCUCCAGUCAGUGUCUGCUUUUUCUGUGGACCACUGUGUCAUGGUAGGUAAGUCACAGCGUUCUCCAAAGCCUCGGAGACGUGUUCUGGAGACACCGGGCCUUCAUACAGUUACCAGGAAUGUCUGACCAGCGAAUCCAAAUGCUGUGAGCCACACCACCAGUAUCAUUGCUGGUGAGACUACUAGCUCCCGAAGAGUGGGACCCUGCUUUCAUUCAGUCAAUACACAACAGUUCUUGCUGAGGGGUAGGUGCUGGGGAUGUGGAGGGAGUAAAUUGCUCUAUUAGAGAGUUGACAGUCUAUGAUCUAGAGGAAGUCACACAUAAAGUAGCGUAAAAAUAAAUACACCAUUUCAGCAAUCCUUGGCACUAAGAUGGAAGGCGGACUAGGGUGAGGAACAGAGGCAUGGUUUUUAUGGCUUGGACACCAAAGAAGCUUCCUUAAGCAGAGAGAAGGCGCAGAAAGAAGCUGUUGAAAGUCUGGGAAAAAAAAAAAAGCUUGUUUCAGGAAA
Non-coding RNA from Myodes glareolus (Bank vole), 775 nucleotides. NCBI's taxonomy places the organism in Eukaryota, Metazoa, Chordata, Mammalia, Rodentia, Cricetidae. The record is from RefSeq and is a predicted model, not a curated record.